RNAcentral lists this non-coding RNA (21 nucleotides) under Arabidopsis thaliana (thale cress). Lineage: Eukaryota; Viridiplantae; Streptophyta; Magnoliopsida; Brassicales; Brassicaceae. The record is from RNAcentral.
CAGUUAUAGUUUGUUUGAUGG